This 279-nucleotide long non-coding RNA is filed under the name Carassius auratus (goldfish). RNAcentral describes it as "lncRNA (ENSCARG00000012075.1)". The record is from RNAcentral. Lineage: Eukaryota; Metazoa; Chordata; Actinopteri; Cypriniformes; Cyprinidae.
AUGGUGGAGCUCAGUGUUCAGGCAGGAGUCAGCUGUGUUCAUACAGCCUUCAUUGCUGUGAAUAAAGACAGCAGACAGACUGUGAAAGGACCCCUGCUGCAGAGAAGAGUGCCAACAUACGAUUCCUCUUCAGAAAUUGACAUGAUGCAAGUAAAUUAUGAUCACAUAGCACCCCGCGAGUUUCGUUUAUCAUCAUCAAGGCAUUGCGUUGCAGUGACUGCACCCGAACAGAAGAUCGGAUUCAUGACAAGUAACGCAAUGAAUACACAGCGUCACUAA